RNAcentral lists this long non-coding RNA (1094 nucleotides) under Homo sapiens (human). RNAcentral describes it as "HSALNT0341658". The record is from RNAcentral. Lineage: Eukaryota; Metazoa; Chordata; Mammalia; Primates; Hominidae.
CAUGUGCCUAUCGUCCCAGCUACUCAGGAGGCUGAAGUGGGAGGAUUAUUUGCGCCCAGAAAUUUGAGGCCACAGUGUGGUAUAUCAUCUGUCAAUAGCCACUGCACUACAAACUGGGCAUCCUAGCAAGAACCUGUAUCUCCAAAAAAAAAAAACUUGAAAAGUGAUUAAGACUAUCCACGUGUUUUUUCUUACUGUUUCUGUCUACUUCCUAAUCUGCAGAUCUGCAAAUGGAAUAAAUGCAAAUGGGAUAAAUGCAAAAUGGAAUAAAUGUCUGGCAGAAGUCAGAAUCUGGAAUUUUUACCAAUUUUGUCCAAUUUAAUUUUACAGUCAACUUGAUCAGCUACUGAGGUGUGUUGGAAGUCAUAGCCACAAUAUUUUGCAGCUCCUCCCAUCAAGGUAGUGUUUGUUUUCCCAGCCCUAGUAUUUGAGCUGGCCUUGUGCCUUGCUUUAACCAAUAAAAUGAGCAGAUGUGUUUCUGGGCUGGUUCUGAGACCUUAAGAGACCUUCUGCUUCAGUCUCUUGGGGUCCUGCUGGCAUGUAAAGAAGCUCAGGCUAAGCCAUGGACGGAUGAGAGACCACGUGGGGAGAUUCCCAACAAGUCCCAACCCACAUCACAUGGAAGAAAGUCAUACAGCAGCGCCCUCAUGCAGAAUGGUGGACCCAGAUGCACAUAACUUGCAAAGAAAUUGUCUGAAAGGAGGUGGCCGUCAGUCAGAGUGAAGAAGGAAAGGAUAUCUUUUGGAAAAAAGAUACGGAGAAGAAAAUGCCCAGGAAUGUGUAGAAGCAAGGAUCCUGCAUUGUUCUUCUGGUAAGAAGAAAAUGAAGGGGAUAAAAUGGGUCUCUGGGGUACAUUGCCUUUAGCUCCAGAAAUGUAAAUGGGCUCUUAGGCUCCUUCUGUUACAGGCUUACGUUCCUCAUCCUAAAGACAAGAAUGCCAUUAGGGUUAUUAGUAAAAGGAUGUUUUCAUUUUACAUUUAUGCCUGAACUUAAUAAGUUUCCAUUUUAAACCAAGAAAUAAACUCAGUCAGCACUUUUAUUUAUUUUAUUUUUAUUUUUUGAGACAGAAUCUUACUCUGUUGCCCAGGCUGCAG